Molecule: long non-coding RNA, 1438 nt
Organism: Herpailurus yagouaroundi (jaguarundi)
Lineage: Eukaryota; Metazoa; Chordata; Mammalia; Carnivora; Felidae
Exons: 2
Source: RefSeq, a predicted model, not a curated record
CUUGCUUGACGCGUGCUCUGACUCAGACACCGAACGCCGGAGGGAGACAAAGCAAGGGAGCGUCCACCCCCAGGUUGGGGGUGGGGGGGGGGAAGCUGGGACCCAGGUUCCCGGCUUCUGUUUCCCUGCCCGCCUGGUGGCCUCUGAGGCAGUUCCCUGGACCCCCGAGAGGGGCUGACAGGCCCACCCUAACCUGGAGCCCCCGGGGUGCCACACGGCCUGUCCCUUCCAGAGCUUUAAGACCACCAGGCACAGGCCCCAGAGGGCUCCCUUGACCCGCUCCCCUGCAGAGGGCACCGGAUCAGAGACCUUGGCCGUCACGGUCAGCAGUUGCAGUAAAUAGGGCACCAGGUUCCCUCAUCCAUGGGAAAGGGCCUGCCUCCGCCACGGCCGCCCCCAUCCUCCCGCCUUCCCCCCCCCCCCCCCGGGAUAGUAAACACUGACGACCUUGGACCCGUCCCAGCUCCGCCUCUGGCCAGCAGUGUCACCCAAAGUGACCCUCACCUGUGUCAUGGGACAAUAACACCCCCUCUGGGGGCCGAUGAGGAUAAGACAAAAUAUCCCAGCUCUGGACUCGGGGGUCCAGAGAGUCUGGAUGUGAGGCCCCACUCUACCCCUUCCUAGCAGCAUACUCUCAAGUGAUUGCACGAAACUCUGAGCCUCAGUUUCCCCAGCUGUUAAAUGGGCAUAAUAACUGUAACUUCUCAGGGGGCUGGGAAGGUCAGACGGGAUGCUGUGAGCAAGGCAUCUGGCACCCAGCGGGGACACGUUUGCUCUGUCCCGGGCCUUCCGUGAGGCUGUGUUGGCACAACAGGUGGGCGGGGAGCUCACUGCCCCCCACGGCAGCUGGCUCCUGAUGCCCAGCCCUGGGCUGGCUCCAGGGAGAGCUAUCUCUGGGAGGAACACAGGACAGCUGGGGGGCAGGAUGGGGGAGCGCACAGUGACCCAAGCAGCCCUCACACAAGGUCAAGGACACGCAGUCACCCAGACCAAGGUGGAGAGAGGAUUAGCCCUACACUGCCCUCAGGGCUGACCUUCAACACAGCCGGGCUGGAGCCUAGAAGCUGAAAUCACCCCACCCGGCCCCUUGACUACCUCCGGCUCACCCAUCCUGGGAUGGUGCGACCCCCAGACCUUCCCACCCCGCCGAGGGGCUCCCAGACCUGGGUCUGGAUUUCUCUCUGGUCAUUGCUCCCGCCGGUGGGACCCGUCCUCCCCCAGUGCUGACGCCCUAAUGCUACACAAACUCUCCCCCAGAGCUCUGCUGCUGGCCUGGAGCUGGGCAGGGGCAGAGGAUCCCCUCGAGCUGAGAAAACCCUGAGUCAGCUGACCCCAUCCCAGUGAACUACCAGAAAGCUUCCUCCUCGGGGUGAAAAGGGAACUUGAGAUGGAGACGAAGUCCAGAGGGAGUGAAAUAAAGAACGUGACUUUUUCCUGC